UGCAAUAUCAUAAGCGGAGGAAAAGAAACCAACAGGGAUUGCCUCAGUAACGGCGAGUGAAGCGGCAAGAGCUCAAAUUUGAAAUCGGCCUCCAGGUCGAGUUGUAAUUUGUAGACUGUAUCUUGGGUGUGUGGUGAAAGUCUGUUGGAACACAGCGCCAUAGAGGGUGAGAGCCCCGUAAACUACUACCCAUUGUAAGAUACUUUCAAAGAGUCGAGUUGUUUGGGAAUGCAGCUCUAAGUGGGAGGUAAAUUCCUUCUAAAGCUAAAUAUUGGCGAGAGACCGAUAGCGAACAAGUACAGUGAUGGAAAGAUGAAAAGAACUUUGAAAAGAGAGUGAAAAAGUACGUGAAAUUGUUAAAAGGGAAGGGUACUGAAUUAGACGUGGGCUUGUGUGUUCAGCUUCGCUUCUGCGUUGUGUACUCGCACAGGCCUAGGCCAAGGUGGGAUAGUUGGGCAGGAAAAAGCUUUGGGAACGUGGCUCUUCGGAGUGUUAUAGCCCUGGGUAAUACUGCCUCGACUGUCUCAGGACUGCGCUUCGGCUAGGAUCUUGGCGUAAUAAUUUUGUACCGCCCGUCUUGAACACGGAACCAA
Molecule: ribosomal RNA, 593 nt
Filed under: Geotrichum restrictum
Lineage: Eukaryota; Fungi; Ascomycota; Dipodascomycetes; Dipodascales; Dipodascaceae
Description: eukaryotic LSU rRNA
Rfam family: Eukaryotic large subunit ribosomal RNA
Source: RNAcentral